GCUCAGACGAACGCUGGCGGCGUGCCUAAUACAUGCAAGUCGAGCGGAUCUUGUCCUUCGGGACAAGGUUAGCGGCGGACGGGUGAGUAACACGUGGGUAACCUGCCUGUAAGACUGGGAUAACAUUCGGAAACGAAUGCUAAUACCGGAUACGCAGCUUGGUCGCAUGACCGAGCUGGGAAAGAUGGAGCAAUCUAUCACUUAUAGAUGGACCCGCGGCGCAUUAGCUAGUUGGUGAGGUAACGGCUCACCAAGGCGACGAUGCGUAGCCGACCUGAGAGGGUGAUCGGCCACACUGGGACUGAGACACGGCCCAGACUCCUACGGGAGGCAGCAGUAGGGAAUCUUCCGCAAUGGACGAAAGUCUGACGGAGCAACGCCGCGUGAGUGAUGAAGGUUUUCGGAUCGUAAAGCUCUGUUGCCAGGGAAGAAUGCUUGGGAGAGUAACUGCUCCCAAGGUGACGGUACCUGAGAAGAAAGCCCCGGCUAA
This 490-nucleotide ribosomal RNA is filed under the name Paenibacillaceae bacterium CL3.64. RNAcentral describes it as "bacterial SSU rRNA". It matches the Rfam family "Bacterial small subunit ribosomal RNA", at positions 22 to 500 of the family's 1533-position model. The record is from RNAcentral. Lineage: Bacteria; Bacillati; Bacillota; Bacilli; Caryophanales; Paenibacillaceae.